GAUAGGUAUGGGAUCUCAGGGGGACGGUGGUGGGAGUGGUGGAGCCCACACUCAUACUCAAGACUCCCAAUCGAGUGCAUUGGUUAGGCAGGGCUCACUCUACAGCCUAACUCUUGAUGAGGUUCAGCAUCAAUUAGGGCAUUUGGGGAAGCCUCUCAGCAGCAUGAAUCUUGAUGAGCUUCUCAAGACUGUAUGGACUGCUGAGGCGAGUCAAGGGGAAGGGGGAACUGAUUUUGGAGUUGCCCAGCCCGGUGACUCCAGCCUCCCGCUAUCUGGGGAUCUUAGCAAGAAGACUGUUGAUGAGGUGUGGCAGGAUAUUCAGCAGGGGCAGAAGAGGAGUGACCUUGAUAGGAAAGCUACUCUGGGUGAGAUGACGCUCGAGGACUUCUUGGUUAAGGCUGGGAUAGUCGCUGAGUCAUCACCGGGAAACAAAAAUUUGGCAGAUUCGAUGGUGUUGCUAGAGCAGAAUGCGGUACAGCAGCCAACUCAAUGGACGCAUUAUCAGAUCCCAACAAUUCAUCAGUCACAGCAGCCACCACCUCCACAGCAACAACUGCCAAAUAUGCUGCCUGUUUACGUGACAGGCCAGCCUCUACCUGUUGUACCAAACCCAAUCAUGGAUACAAGUUUUCCCGAGACACAGGUGGCCAUGUCCCCAACUAUGAUGGGAACACUAUCGGACACUCAAGCACCUGGAACAAAGCGAACUGCCCCAGACACUGUGGUUGAGAAAAGUGCUGAAAGGAGGCAGAAAAGGAUGAUAAAAAACAGGGAGUCUGCAGCUCGGUCACGAGCAAGGAAGCAGGCUUACACCCAUGAGCUGGAGAACAAGGUUUCUCGUUUAGAAGAAGAGAAUGAAAGGCUUAAAAAACAGAAGGUUUGAGAGAUCUUCAGCAGAUGUCCAUGGGAGAAUAUCCUGACAAAGAGGGGACAAAAGAUUUUGAUCGAGAGAGAGAAUGGAAGGAAAGUAUCAAUUGGUCAAACCUUCAGCUGAAUUUACUUUGUCCUUUCAUUUGAUGGCAAUUCCACAGAAUCAGUGGAGGACUAAAUUGGGAGAAGGAGAUGGCGCUGCCUUAUGUUCCACCUCCAGAGCCCAAAUAUCAGCUGCGCAGAACAAGUUCAGCCCCUUUCUGACAACUGGUUUCGUGAAUGAUAACAGUAUAUAGAUGCAUAGAAUUCUUGUGUCACUAAAACAACUUUCAUAAAUUAGUGUUCCUCCUUACACCCCUUGUACCUGCCUGGACAACUGCAUGAGAUUUGCAUUGGAUCGUCGUCCUCUGGAACCUUCGUUGGUUUCGCCUUUGGCUUUCCCUGCCUUUCUCUUGAUUAAUUUCUUUCUUGUAUGUACAUUACAUAGUUUAAACUUGAAGAUCAUAGUUUUGGUAGCUCUUUUGUUACUUAUUGCAAAUGCUUUGUAGGAUCAAAUUCCUCCCUCCUGUAUAAUGAAAGUUUUGGAAGCCGUUUUGACAAGUUUA
RNA transcript from Ipomoea triloba (trilobed morning glory), 1475 nucleotides. It is a transcript of the gene named ABSCISIC ACID-INSENSITIVE 5-like protein 2, with no coding region annotated. The transcript has 4 exons. NCBI's taxonomy places the organism in Eukaryota, Viridiplantae, Streptophyta, Magnoliopsida, Solanales, Convolvulaceae. The record is from RefSeq and is a predicted model, not a curated record.